GGGUCUGUAGCUCAGUUGGUUAGAGCACUCGGCUCAUAACCGAGUGGUCGGGAGUUCGAGUCUCCCCGGACCCACCA
Molecule: transfer RNA, 77 nt
Filed under: bacterium
Lineage: Bacteria
Also listed under: 1 other name
Description: tRNA-Met
Rfam family: tRNA
About the family: Transfer RNA (tRNA) molecules are approximately 80 nucleotides in length. Their secondary structure includes four short double-helical elements and three loops (D, anti-codon, and T loops). Further hydrogen bonds mediate the characteristic L-shaped molecular structure. tRNAs have two regions of fundamental functional importance: the anti-codon, which is responsible for specific mRNA codon recognition, and the 3' end, to which the tRNAs corresponding amino acid is attached (by aminoacyl-tRNA synthetases). tRNAs cope with the degeneracy of the genetic code in two manners: having more than one tRNA (with a specific anti-codon) for a particular amino acid; and 'wobble' base-pairing, i.e. permitting non-standard base-pairing at the 3rd anti-codon position.
Source: RNAcentral